CAAGAGAUCUGCCUGCCUCAGCCUCUGGAGUCGCUGGAGUUACAGGCGUGAAGACGCUGUUUGAAAGGGGUCACUCUGCUGUGUGGCGAUGAGACUGUGAGGAGCAGGCUGGGAAAGGGGAGAGCUGUUUCCAGGUAAGAGGCAGUGGCUGCUGGAGCAGGUGAGAAGCCAGUUAGAGUCUUUUCAGAGACAUAACAGUGUUUGUUGAUGAAAGAGAGGUAAAGUGACGGGAAGGAGUCAGGGAGGACUCUGAGGUUUUUGCCCUAAAGCUGGAAAUGGGACUUUCAUUUCCUGAUGUAGGAACAGGUGAGAUCCCACAGGGAAAGCCUGCAGCACCGGAGACAUGGAAGUGCCGGCCGUACAGAUUCAGAAGAGGAGAAGCCUUGGAAGAGGAGGCCCCUGGGGUGCCGAGGGGAAAGUGCCCUCCAUGGGAGCAGGCCCCUGUGUCAGUGCCGGGGCCUGCCAUGCUUGCUGCUGUGCUCACCAGCCCUGCCUGGAUCUUUGGCCUACGUGGCUCAGCUCAAGCCCACCAGGAGGGUGUCCCUACCCCACCGCCACCAGUGUCGUCCCUGUGUUAGUUCUGGCCUGGGCUGCAGCAAGGAAGGUGGGGCAGGAGGGAGUCAGGGACUGGAGUUCCAAGAGAUUUCAUGGGAACCAUGCUGGUGGGGGUGGGACCCGGCAACCCCAGGAGCAGCCAGCACGGAAAGCUGCCAUGGGCAAGUCUCCAUUCCGUGGAAGACAGCAGUCCCCACUCAAGGUGUGCGUGGCUGCUGCCCCAGAGCUGCUGCCAGGUACGUGCCCCAGGUCCCAAGAUGAGCACCUAAGAAGGGAAGGCCUGCUCCACGGGCAAGAAAGGGAUUUUCUCCUCGUACUCCCGAGAGUGACCCAGGCCCACCCACAGGGAGGGAGGUGGACGCCUCCCUCAGGUCUCUCAGGUCUCUCUGUCCGCGAGUUCUCCACUGCAGCUUGCUCUGCAGCCACCCCCCCCAUCCAUGGCUACACACCCCACAUUCUGGUCUCUUCCCUGGACCAGACUACAGAGCAGGGCCACUGUCUCCACUGCCUCCAGCUGGCCCCUGCUGACAAGCCCCUGUUGUAUCAGGUUGGGAGCCUGGGGAAGGCAUGGGGGCCCUUCUCCAGCAGGUCCUGAUACCUCCUCGACACUUUCAGGAAAAGCAAGAGAUAAACCAUCGCAUCCUGAGCUCUGCAGGGAACCAGAGGCGGACACCAUUCAUUCUGCAAACCUGCAGGGUUGACCCUUCCAGGACCUCCUCACCUCCUCCAGGGCUGCAGCCUCUAAGGCAGGUCCUGGUUCCGCCUCCUUGACUUGGUCUUUCUGGUGCCAGCUGAGCCCUGGAAGGGCCACAGCCUCCCCUCCAGCCCCUCUGCCACGGGGUGGCUGCUGUCUCCUUUGGAUCUUUUUGCGGUCUGGGCUUGCUGUUCCUCUCAACAGUAGUCAGGAAGCCCUUACCCCAAAAAGUAUCUGCGGGAGGCCUCGUCCACAGGGGAGGUCACCCCAAGGGUUCCAGGUGAGUCACAGCAAACCCAAGGACAGUGAGUGGUACUGGGGGUCUCCUGACUCUCCCUUAGACUUGCUGGGUGACCUUAAGUCCAGCACUGAGCCUCUCCGGGCCUCAGUUAUGCCACUCUUUUCAUCAUUUACCAGUGGGCAGUGUCAAAUGAGAGACUCCACAGGUACGAAAAAUAAAGGAGUGGCUCAGUUACAAGCCAGGCAAAACCGCUUUGGUGGAUGAAGGCCACACGGCUCUCCCAGUGUUCUGUCCUCUGUAUACAGAUGAUCUCCUUCUAAGAUCCUUUUGGGAAUGACCCCUCCCACACCAUAGACACUUCUGAGUGGGUUGUCACUAAGAGGCCCUGUCGAGUCUGACCCGCAGACUUAACUGAGCGACAGAUGAAAAACAUACACUGACACAGGCUUGUCUGUCAGCACGGCCAGGGCUCCGCUACCACAGCCAACAGCUGCCUCCGUCAGCCGGUGAUACUCAGUUUUAUUUAUUUAGUACAGAUUAAAUAAUAAAAGUCUUAAGUAAACACCAUUAGAGGGUUAUUAACAUUUCUGACCCCCAGUAGAGAGCAGUUUCAUCCAUGAAUGUUCAAAGGUUGGUCUUAGGACUACAUGAGUAAAUAAUCUAUUGAGAUAAAUGCCUUUACAUUCCUUUGUUAUUUGUUCUAAGCUAUUAGUUCAAGGUAAAAGGAUUAGGCUGCCUUCAACCACAACUCCCUCUCAAGGCUUUUGCAAAACCUUCCAGCCUUCUAAGAAGGUUUACGUCUAUUUUACAAUUUUUCCUACCACCUUGACGGAUCUCCUACGAGGUCCUGCCCUCUUCUGCCCACUGGGUGGAUACAAGAAUUGAAACCUGUGAAGGAUAUGAGAUUGGGAACAAAAUAAUUGAUGCUGAUUGA
Molecule: RNA transcript, 2424 nt
Organism: Saimiri boliviensis boliviensis (Bolivian squirrel monkey)
Lineage: Eukaryota; Metazoa; Chordata; Mammalia; Primates; Cebidae
Source: RefSeq, a predicted model, not a curated record